CAGCCGCCGCGGGAACACCAGCACCUCGAGUGGUCAGGAGGUUUAUUGGGCCUAAAGCAUCCGUAGCCGGUUGCAUAAGUUUUCGGUUAAAUCUAUGCGCUUAACGUAUAGGCCGCCGAAAAUACUGUGCAGCUAGGGAGUGGGAGAGGUACACGGUACUCGAUAGGAAGGGGUAAAAUCCUUUGAUCUAUUGAUGACCACCUGUGGCGAAGGCGGUGUACCAGAACACGUUCGACGGUGAGGGAUGAAAGCUGGGGGAGCAAACCGGAUUAGAUACCCCCGUAGUCCCUGUCUCUUAUAC
RNAcentral lists this ribosomal RNA (301 nucleotides) under uncultured bacterium. RNAcentral's name for it is "partial 16S ribosomal RNA". It matches the Rfam family "Archaeal small subunit ribosomal RNA", at positions 459 to 760 of the family's 1478-position model. The record is from RNAcentral.